This 232-nucleotide ribosomal RNA is filed under the name uncultured bacterium. RNAcentral describes it as "partial 16S ribosomal RNA". It matches the Rfam family "Bacterial small subunit ribosomal RNA", at positions 118 to 347 of the family's 1533-position model. The record is from RNAcentral.
UGAGUAACCUGCCCUUAACUCUGGGAUAAGCCUGGGAAACUGGGUCUAAUACCGGAUAUGACUCCUCAUCGCAUGGUGGGGGGUGGAAAGCUUUUUGUGUUUUUGGAUGGACUCGCGGCCUAUCAGCUUGUUGGUGAGGUAAUGGCUCACCAAGGCGACGACGGGUAGCCGGCCUGAGAGGGCGAUCGGCCACACUGGGACUGAGACACGGUCCAGACUCCUACGGGAGCAG